GUCGAGGGGCAUCAGUUUGGUUUGCUUGCAACCAAAGCUGGCGACCGGCGCACGGGUGAGUAACACGUAUCCAACCUGCCUCAUACUCGGGGAUAGCCUUUCGAAAGAAAGAUUAAUAUCCGAUAGCAUAUAUUUCCCGCAUGGGUUUUAUAUUAAAGAAAUUCGGUAUGAGAUGGGGAUGCGUUCCAUUAGUUUGUUGGCGGGGUAACGGCCCACCAAGACUACGAUGGAUAGGGGUUCUGAGAGGAAGGUCCCCCACAUUGGAACUGAGACACGGUCCAAACUCCUACGGGAGGCAGCAGUGAGGAAUAUUGGUCAAUGGACGCGAGUCUGAACCAGCCAAGUAGCGUGAAGGAUGACUGCCCUAUGGGUUGUAAACUUCUUUUAUAUGGGAAUAAAGUGGUCCACGUGUGGAUUUUUGUAUGUACCAUAUGAAUAAGGAUCGGCUAACUCCGUGCCAGCAGCCGCGGUAAUACGGAGGAUCCGAGCGUUAUCCGGAUUUAUUGGGUUUAAAGGGAGCGUAGGCGGAUUGUUAAGUCAGUUGUGAAAGUUUGCGGCUCAACCGUAAAAUUGCAGUUGAUACUGGCAGUCUUGAGUGCAGUAGAGGUGGGCGGAAUUCGUGGUGUAGCGGUGAAAUGCUUAGAUAUCACGAAGAACUCCGAUUGCGAAGGCAGCUCACUGGAGUGUAACUGACGCUGAUGCUCGAAAGUGUGGGUAUCAAACAGGAUUAGAUACCCUGGUAGUCCACACAGUAAACGAUGAAUACUCGCUGUUUGCGAUAUACAGUAAGCGGCCAAGCGAAAGCAUUAAGUAUUCCACCUGGGGAGUACGCCGGCAACGGUGAAACUCAAAGGAAUGACGGGGGCC
This 867-nucleotide ribosomal RNA is filed under the name uncultured bacterium. RNAcentral's name for it is "bacterial SSU rRNA". It matches the Rfam family "Bacterial small subunit ribosomal RNA", at positions 61 to 921 of the family's 1533-position model. The record is from RNAcentral.